CCUACGGGUUGCACCAGUGGAGAAUAUUGCACAAUGGGCGCAAGCCUGAUGCAGCCAUGCCGCGUGUAUGAAGAAGGCCUUCGGGUUGUAAAGUACUUUCAGCGGGGAGGAAGGCGAUAAGGUUAAUAACCUUAUCGAUUGACGUUACCCGCAGAAGAAGCACCGGCUAACUCCGUGCCAGCAGCCGCGGUAAUACGGAGGGUGCAAGCGUUAAUCGGAAUUACUGGGCGUAAAGCGCACGCAGGCGGUCUGUCAAGUCGGAUGUGAAAUCCCCGGGCUCAACCUGGGAACUGCAUUAGAAACUGGCAGGCUGGAGUCUUGUAGAGAGGGGUAGAGUUCCAGGUGUAGCGGUGAAAUGCGUAGAGAUCUGGAGGAAUACCGGUGGCGAAGGCGGCCCCCUGGACAAAGACUGACGCUCAGGUGCGAAAGCGUGGGGAGCAAACAGGAUUAGAUACCCCAGUAGUC
RNAcentral lists this ribosomal RNA (465 nucleotides) under uncultured bacterium. RNAcentral describes it as "bacterial SSU rRNA". It matches the Rfam family "Bacterial small subunit ribosomal RNA", at positions 338 to 795 of the family's 1533-position model. The record is from RNAcentral.